This 1284-nucleotide ribosomal RNA is filed under the name Coralliophila richardi. Its description in RNAcentral is "16S ribosomal RNA". It matches the Rfam family "Bacterial large subunit ribosomal RNA", at positions 447 to 2755 of the family's 2925-position model. Lineage: Eukaryota; Metazoa; Mollusca; Gastropoda; Neogastropoda; Muricidae. The record is from RNAcentral.
GGUUAACUAAACCUAAAAUAAAUUUAAGCAAAACAUUACUAUACAAGUAAAGGUGAUUGAUUUGUUUAUUAGUAAAUUACCGUGAGGGAAAUAACUUAAACUAGGGGAAAGAAAAAAUAUAAGUUUUUACCUUUUGUAUCAUGGUUUAGCAAGAUUAAUUUUUGAAUAAAGUUUCUCGAAAUCUGAUGAGCUAUUUUUGGUUUUCUUUAGGAAGUAAAAUUGGCUGUGGCAAAAGCCUUCAAAAAACUAAAAAUAGAUAUGAAAUUUUAUACGCGUUAGAUGAUAGCUAGUUCCCCUUGAAAGACAUAUAAGUGUUCAAAGUUGUUUAUCCUAAGUAAUUCUUUUAUACCGGAAUGGCAACUUUGUUGACUUUUUGAGGAUAAGCUCGAAAAAGGAAGUUUAAACCAGAAGUGAGGUUAUAAGCUUGAAAGUAGCUAUUAAGUUGAGUUUGUUAUAAUUCACUCGUGGUUUUUGGUAGAUUUACUGUGUUAUAUAAAGGGGUGAUCUUUUCAAUUUAUUUAGGUACACUUAUGCUAAAAUGAGUAUUUUGUUAUUUGAUUUUUCUAAGACUUCAAGAAAAGGAACUUAAAGAAAAUUUUUUUUGAAAAACUAUUAAAAGGAACUCGGCAAAGCACUAUUCUGCCUGUUUAUCAAAAACAUGUCUCCGUGUCAGUAAGAAAAUACGGAGUCGGACCUGCCCGGUGAUUAAUUUUCAUUGUUUAACGGCCGCGGUACUCUGACCGUGCAAAGAUAGCAUAAUAAUUUGCCUUAUAAUUGAAGGCUUGGAUGAAUGGUCUGACAAGAAUAAAGCUGUCUCUUUAUAGUUAAUUAGAAUUUUAUUUAUAGGUGAAAAAGCCUAUAUAUUAUUGAUAGACAAGAAGACCCUAUCGAGCUUUAAAAAAUUGUGAUAUUAAAUAUAGCAGUCAUUUUGGUUGGGGCGACAGAGGAACAGCUUAAGCUUCCUUAGUGAGUAAUUACGGGCUUGUGAUGAUCCAAAAAUUUUGAUUAAUGGAAUUAGUUACCGUAGGGAUAACAGCAUAAUCCUCUUUAAGAGUUCGUAUCGAAAAGGGGGUUUGUGACCUCGAUGUUGGACCAGGGCAUCCUAAAGAUGCAGCAGUCUUUAAGGGUUGGUCUGUUCGACCAUUAAAGCCCUACGUGAUCUGAGUUCAGACCGGCGUGAGCCAGGUCAGUUUCUAUCUUCAAUUUUAAGAAAAAGCUUAGUACGAAAGGACCAGCUUUUUCCAAACUAUUUUGGUUUUUUAGAUAUGGUAUAAUAAAAAGUUA